CCCUUAGAUGUCCGGGGCUGCACGCGCGCUACACUGAAUGAAUCAGCGUGCUAGAAAACCUUGUUUGACAUGGCUAGGUAACCCAUUGAAAAUCAUUCGUGAUUGGGAUCGGGACUUGCAAAUGUGUCCCUUGAACGAGGAAUUCCCAGUAAGUGCGGGUCAUCAGCUCGCGUUGAUUACGUCCCUGCCCUUUGUACACACCGCCCGUCGCUGCCCGGAACUGAGCCGUUUCGAGAAGACUGAGGUUUGCUGACUUGAGGCCUUCACGGGCUUCUAGUCGGUGAAAAUCAAUUUAAUCGCAGCGGCUUGAACCGGGCAAAAGUCGUAACA
This 330-nucleotide ribosomal RNA is filed under the name uncultured eukaryote. Its description in RNAcentral is "partial 18S ribosomal RNA". It matches the Rfam family "Eukaryotic small subunit ribosomal RNA", at positions 1470 to 1796 of the family's 1831-position model. The record is from RNAcentral.